GACGAACGCUGGCGGCGUGCUUAACACAUGCAAGUCGAACGGAAAGGCCCUGCUUUUGUGGGGUGCUCGAGUGGCGAACGGGUGAGUAACACGUGAGUAACCUGCCCUUGACUUUGGGAUAACUUCAGGAAACUGGGGCUAAUACCGGAUAGGAGCUCCUGCUGCAUGGUGGGGGUUGGAAAGUUUCGGCGGUUGGGGAUGGACUCGCGGCUUAUCAGCUUGUUGGUGGGGUAGUGGCUUACCAAGGCUUUGACGGGUAGCCGGCCUGAGAGGGUGACCGGCCACAUUGGGACUGAGAUACGGCCCAGACUCCUACGGGAGGCAGCAGUGGGGAAUAUUGCACAAUGGGCGGAAGCCUGAUGCAGCAACGCCGCGUGCGGGAUGACGGCCUUCGGGUGGUAAACCGCUUUCGCAUGUGACGAAGCGUGAGUGACGGUAAUGGGUAAAGAAGCACCGGCUAACUACGUG
Molecule: ribosomal RNA, 468 nt
Filed under: uncultured bacterium
Lineage: Bacteria
Description: partial 16S ribosomal RNA
Rfam family: Bacterial small subunit ribosomal RNA
Source: RNAcentral